RNAcentral lists this non-coding RNA (23 nucleotides) under Arabidopsis thaliana (thale cress). Lineage: Eukaryota; Viridiplantae; Streptophyta; Magnoliopsida; Brassicales; Brassicaceae. The record is from RNAcentral.
UGCGGGUGGUAGCGGUUGUUAGC